RNAcentral lists this ribosomal RNA (440 nucleotides) under uncultured bacterium. RNAcentral describes it as "bacterial SSU rRNA". It matches the Rfam family "Bacterial small subunit ribosomal RNA", at positions 958 to 1398 of the family's 1533-position model. The record is from RNAcentral.
AACGCGAAGAACCUUACCUGGGCUUGAACCGCUACUGACCAACGGUAGAAAUAUCGUCUUCCCGCAAGGGACAGUAGUAGAGGUGCUGCAUGGCUGUCGUCAGCUCGUGCCGUGAGGUGUUGGGUUAAGUCCCGCAACGAGCGCAACCCUUAUUCGUAGUUGCCACCCGCAAGGGGGAACUCUACGAGGACUGCUCCGGAUAACGGAGAGGAAGGUGGGGAUGACGUCAAGUCAGCACGGCCUUUAUGUCCAGGGCUACACACGUGUUACAAUGCACGGUACAGACUGUUGCGAACCCGCGAGGGGGAGCUAAUCGGAUAAAACCGUGCUCAGUUCGGAUUGCAGUCUGCAACUCGACUGCAUGAAGCUGGAAUCGCUAGUAAUGGCGUAUCAGAUCGACGCCGUGAAUACGUUCCCGGGCCUUGUACACACCGCUCGUC